AGUGCCGAGCACGUUUCCCCUGGAACACCGCAGUAGCCCGUGUGUGUCGAAAUUACAAACCAGGGGUGACCGCAAAAGGAGAACUAGGGAUGGGUUACAGGUUGAAAAAGAUGAAGCGUUACCUCCAAAGUCCGGCCGCAAGCGAAUGUCAUAUCCUUUGAGCAAUCUGUCCACUGUCUCUUUCACGUAUGACAUGUUGCUGGGUUCAUUGGCGCUGAAGGGAAGAAGUAAGGACCGUAUGCAAAAUGAGCACAGACCGUGAGCACAUAUAAAAGAUACAGGCACACCUACCCCCAAAUAACAAGAUACAUGAUCCAGCAGGCACGUAAAAAGAAACAUACCAAGAAAAAAGAGAAAGAUUAAACAGCAGCUCACCUGUGUGCACAACAGACCAUUGUAAUCAUCACAGGGAAAGAAAGAAGCCCCAAACUCUCUCGAUUUUGUACUGUCCACAUUACUAACUCUGAUUAGAGAAUUGU
Molecule: long non-coding RNA, 479 nt
Organism: Sapajus apella (tufted capuchin)
Lineage: Eukaryota; Metazoa; Chordata; Mammalia; Primates; Cebidae
Exons: 2
Source: RefSeq, a predicted model, not a curated record